Homarus americanus (American lobster) is the source of this 845-nucleotide long non-coding RNA. RefSeq lists it as uncharacterized. NCBI's taxonomy places the organism in Eukaryota, Metazoa, Arthropoda, Malacostraca, Decapoda, Nephropidae. The transcript is spliced from 3 exons. The record is from RefSeq and is a predicted model, not a curated record.
CACUGCAAUAGACAGUCAGAAUUCAUACCACCUCCACGCUGUACAGGGGGCUAGUUUAAUGGGCACCCCUUUACAGCCUGUGUAAUGGGGGAGCACAGAAGGAUUACAGGAACCAUAGAGGAAGGGAAUUGACUUUUGAUAAUCUAAGUGCAAGAGUUGUCUAUUGUUCGCGCGUCUAUAGGUCAACUUCUACUCCUGUCUAGAGAAGAUAUAUGCAGCACCAAUGGCCGCUCCUGUGAAGCAGGUUCCAGUGAUGCAGGCUUCUCUGGUGCAGACUCCAGUGAUGCAGGCUCCUGUGAAGCAGGUUCCAGUGAUGCAGGCUUCUCUGGUGCAGACUCCAGUGAUGCAGGCUCCGUGAAGCAGGUUCCAGUGAUGCAGGCUUCUCUGGUGCAGACUCCAGUGAUGCAGGCUCCUGUGAAGCAGGUUCCAGUGAUGCAGGCUUCUCUGGUGCAGACUCCAGUGAUGCAGGCUCCUGUUGUAGCCUCCCCUUUUGUGGUAGAUGGGACCGUCAGCUGCCCGGCCUGCAGGAUAGGCUCCCUAAAUUAUGUGUUCACCACGGCUGGGCUCAUAUUUAGCAUAGUGUUCUUCCCGCUGGGUAUAGCCUUGUGUGUUCUGUUAAUGGAGAAACGAUGUGAUCGGUGUGGCCUCACCUUCUCUUAGUGCAAGAACACGUAGCAGGAAGAGGAGGAGGAGGAAGAAGGAGGAUGACUUUAGACUCCUUACAUGGUGCCAACACAAUGCCAACUUGAUGACAAUGUGAUAACAUACUUCCACCCCUCCUUCCUCUCUCUCAUCACUCUCUCCCCUAUCCCUCUCACCUCUCCCUCAUCCCUCUCACCUCUCCC